AAACCAUGCAUCGAGCAUUUUCUUAAUAGCUCCUUGAAUUACUCUCAUGCUUCAUAUAAUGUUUCAUCCUCUAAUUGUCUAAACAAUGUAAUGUCAUUCCUUAACUU
Small nucleolar RNA from Gossypium arboreum, 107 nucleotides. It matches the Rfam family "Plant small nucleolar RNA R71". From Rfam's summary of the family: R71 is a member of the C/D box family of snoRNAs containing the C (UGAUGA) and D (CUGA) box motifs. Multiple nearly identical copies of this snoRNA have been identified in Arabidopsis, and it is thought to function as a 2'-O-ribose methylation guide for 18S ribosomal RNA. Lineage: Eukaryota; Viridiplantae; Streptophyta; Magnoliopsida; Malvales; Malvaceae. The record is from Rfam.